This 173-nucleotide small RNA is filed under the name uncultured Paramuribaculum sp. RNAcentral's name for it is "Bacteroidales-1 6S-Bacteroidales RNA suggested". It matches the Rfam family "Bacteroidales-1 6S-Bacteroidales RNA suggested". Lineage: Bacteria; Pseudomonadati; Bacteroidota; Bacteroidia; Bacteroidales; Muribaculaceae. The record is from RNAcentral.
AGUAGAUUGGGAAACUCAUCAAUUAUAAUCGAAAUGCCGAGACAAGCUUAGUUGUCCGAUGGCGGGCCCCAUCCCCUUGCGGGAGGCUUCAUAAGCCCAGGCGGAUUACAAAGGACGGCGAGCGCUCAAAUCCUGUCUUCCGGAGUUUCAUCGCAUCCUUUGAUGUGGCUCUU